This 159-nucleotide non-coding RNA is filed under the name Bacillus coahuilensis. Its description in RNAcentral is "GlcN6P sequence". It matches the Rfam family "glmS glucosamine-6-phosphate activated ribozyme aptamer". Rfam says of the family: This entry contains a glucosamine-6-phosphate activated ribozyme that is found in the mRNA for GlmS. GlmS is an enzyme that uses fructose-6-phosphate and glutamine to generate glucosamine-6-phosphate. Lineage: Bacteria; Bacillati; Bacillota; Bacilli; Caryophanales; Bacillaceae. The record is from RNAcentral. RNAcentral also lists the same sequence under 1 other name.
UAAACCCCAAAAGCGCCUGAACUAAGGAGUUGCCUUAGUUGACGAGGAGGAGGAGUAUCGAUCGUUCGGCGGAUACCUCCCGACUGAUAUCGCGCAGUCGAAUGGGUCAUUUUAAAACAUAGAGGUAACUUUAUGCACAAAGAAUGGACUCACGCGAAA